This 429-nucleotide ribosomal RNA is filed under the name uncultured bacterium. Its description in RNAcentral is "partial 16S ribosomal RNA". It matches the Rfam family "Bacterial small subunit ribosomal RNA", at positions 355 to 776 of the family's 1533-position model. RNAcentral also lists the same sequence under 5 other names. The record is from RNAcentral.
UGGGGAAUAUUGCACAAUGGGCGCAAGCCUGAUGCAGCCAUGCCGCGUGUGUGAAGAAGGCCUUCGGGUUGUAAAGCACUUUCAGCGAGGAGGAAGGUGGUGAACUUAAUACGUUCAUCAAUUGACGUUACUCGCAGAAGAAGCACCGGCUAACUCCGUGCCAGCAGCCGCGGUAAUACGGAGGGUGCAAGCGUUAAUCGGAAUUACUGGGCGUAAAGCGCACGCAGGCGGUUUGUUAAGUCAGAUGUGAAAUCCCCGGGCUCAACCUGGGAACUGCAUUUGAAACUGGCAAGCUAGAGUCUCGUAGAGGGGGGUAGAAUUCCAGGUGUAGCGGUGAAAUGCGUAGAGAUCUGGAGGAAUACCGGUGGCGAAGGCGGCCCCCUGGACGAAGACUGACGCUCAGGUGCGAAAGCGUGGGGAGCAAACAGG